GACAUUUAAACUAGAGGCUCUAAAGAGCCUGUGUCGCUCACCUUGGUCUAUGUGCAUAUCAAACAAAGGACACAAAUGGAUUCAUGACAAAAUUGUAUUUUGGUGAUGGUGAUGUGUUUGAAGUUCUUACUUUACUGAACGAUUUUUGCUUCUUACAAUUAUAUCUAUAAUGAACUUUGCCCAUUAGUAACAGAGAACUAUAUUU
Molecule: long non-coding RNA, 205 nt
Filed under: Mytilus galloprovincialis (Mediterranean mussel)
Lineage: Eukaryota; Metazoa; Mollusca; Bivalvia; Mytilida; Mytilidae
Source: RNAcentral